CAAAAACAUAACUAUAUGAUAUAAUAUAUAGCAUUUUCUGCUCCAUGGUGUUACUAAAUAGCCGCAGUACCCUGACUGUGCAAAGGUAGCAUAAUCAAUUGGCUUCUAAUUAGAGUCUUGUAUGAACGAAGUUAUGGGAAGUGACUAUCUAAGUAGGUUUCUUUGAAUUUAACAAGUAAGUGCAAAUGCUUACAAGUAAUUAAGAAGGACGAGAAGACCCUAGAAACUUAUUAAAUUAUUUUGUUGGGGCGACAGAAUUACAUGGAACUAAUUUUAUUUAACUUGACGUAAAGCAGAUAGAAAAAGUUACUCUAGGGAUAACAGCAUAAUUUUACCGUUUGUGACCUCGAUGUUGGACUAGGAAAAUAACUCUUUAGAAGAGAGAUAAUUUUGCUCUGUUCGAGCAGUUUUACCUACGUGAUCUGA
RNAcentral lists this ribosomal RNA (426 nucleotides) under Eremina dillwyniana. RNAcentral's name for it is "partial 16S ribosomal RNA". It matches the Rfam family "Bacterial large subunit ribosomal RNA", at positions 1808 to 2608 of the family's 2925-position model. The record is from RNAcentral. Lineage: Eukaryota; Metazoa; Mollusca; Gastropoda; Stylommatophora; Helicidae.